AUUGAACGCUGGCGGCAGGCCUAACACAUGCCAGUCGAGCGGAUGAAGGGAGCUUGCUCCUGGAUUCAGCGGCGGACGGGUGAGUAAUGCCUAGGAAUCUGCCUGGUAGUGGGGGAUAACGUCCGGAAACGGGCGCUAAUACCGCAUACGUCCUGAGGGAGAAAGUGGGGGAUCUUCGGACCUCACGCUAUCAGAUGAGCCUAGGUCGGAUUAGCUAGUUGGUGGGGUAAAGGCCUACCAAGGCGACGAUCCGUAACUGGUCUGAGAGGAUGAUCAGUCACACCUGAACCUAGGCACCGUCCACACUCCCAACGGAAGGCGCAGGUGGGAAUUUUGGGCCAUGGGGGAAAAGCUGAUCCAGCCAUGCCGCGUGUGUGAAGAAGGUCUUCGGAUUGUAAAGCACUUUAAGUUGGGAGGAAGGGCAGUAAGUUAAUACCUUGCUGUUUUGACGUUACCAACAGAAUAAGCACCGGCUAACUUCGUG
Molecule: ribosomal RNA, 484 nt
Filed under: uncultured bacterium
Lineage: Bacteria
Description: partial 16S ribosomal RNA
Rfam family: Bacterial small subunit ribosomal RNA
Source: RNAcentral